UCAGGAUGAACGCUAGCUACAGGCUUAACACAUGCAAGUCGAGGGGCAGCAUUGGAGUAGCAAUACUCAGAUGGCGACCGGCGCACGGGUGAGUAACACGUAUCCAACCUGCCGCUUACUCGGGGAUAGCCUUUCGAAAGAAAGAUUAAUACCCGAUGGUAUAAAGAGUUCGCAUGUUCUCUUUAUUAAAGAAUUUCGGUAAGCGAUGGGGAUGCGUUCCAUUAGAUAGUUGGCGGGGUAACGGCCCACCAAGUCUACGAUGGAUAGGGGUUCUGAGAGGAAGGUCCCCCACAUUGGAACUGAGACACGGUCCAAACUCCUACGGGAGGCAGCAGUGAGGAAUAUUGGUCAAUGGACGAGAGUCUGAACCAGCCAAAAGUAGCGUGAAGGAUGACUGCCCUAUGGGUUGUAAACUUCUUUUAUAAGGGGAUGAAGUGAGGGACGUGUCCCUUUUUGUAUGUACCUUAUGAAUAAGGAUCGGCUAACUCCGUGCCAGCCGCCGC
RNAcentral lists this ribosomal RNA (503 nucleotides) under uncultured bacterium. RNAcentral describes it as "bacterial SSU rRNA". It matches the Rfam family "Bacterial small subunit ribosomal RNA", at positions 24 to 518 of the family's 1533-position model. The record is from RNAcentral.